Long non-coding RNA from Saccostrea cuccullata (small rock oyster), 2021 nucleotides. RefSeq lists it as uncharacterized. The record is from RefSeq and is a predicted model, not a curated record. Lineage: Eukaryota; Metazoa; Mollusca; Bivalvia; Ostreida; Ostreidae. The transcript is spliced from 3 exons.
CAGGUUUGUUUACUUUGUAAUGCGCCUUGAGGUAACCGAAAUGUGGGGAAAACAAGGACUGGCACCCAUGUUGAAAGAGCAUCAGCCUGCAAAGGAUGAUAGAAUAAUGUAAUCAUUAUUCUUCCGUUACACUUUCAUCGGAAUCGGACUCAUCAAGGAUGGAUGCGUCACACAAUGAGUUACCCCAAUCCUGAAUUCCGUAAGUCUGGCACUCUUGAUGUCUGGAGAAGCCCAAGUACCAAAGCACAGCUGCAACGUGAGAGCAAACGCCAACUACCCGUGCCCCGGCACGACACUUGCAGUAGGUGGCCACAAUGUUUGAGGGUGUGAAUUCUAUCCAUAAGGUGUACUUCCUUGAGGACACAUGACGUGACUGGAGCUUCACUUGGAUCAAGCCAGGGUCUUCCCGGUUGAUGUAAAUAUCAGCUUCCCCAUCAAUGUGUUCUUUUAUAUAGGAUGGACUCAGUCUGAGCUGGUACGUUCCACAAGUUAUGUUGGACAAGUCUUCUUCAUCUAGUCUUGGGAAGUCAUCCAAAGAAUCAUCAUCGACCGAUUUCCAAAUAACCUUACGCUUGUCCAGUCCAUUAUCAACAACCCUCUCCUGGAGUUUGUUCACUUGAUGAGAAAGAUUCAGUAUGCUCACCUUUGAAACAAGUCUUGAAGAAUUUGCAUCCGCACUAGAGAGCUGUUUCUCACCCCUCUUCAGGAACGAUGGCAUCUGUGCUCUAAUACCAAGGUCUUCGAGAAGAUCUAGGGAAUCCCUGAAGCCUCGAUCAACCACAAACACAUCAUUCUCCUGGACCCAGUCCCUAAUGCUGUCAACAUUUUUCUUUAGUGCAUGAUUUAGGAUGGCGGCAUCAUUAUUUUUGGAAUCCGAAUAGUAUGGGCCCAUGAUGCUCAAAAAGUACCCUGAGGUAGAACAAAUAACCAUCGGUUUCACUAGUGGCCGUCCUUUAUGCAGACUGUAAGUCCUCCUUUGAAAUUUGAAAUUAUCACUCUUCUGGAUAUAAAUGUAUGUGCCAUCAAUUACCAGGAUUGCUCGGGAUUCUUCCUGGUCACCAAACAGGAAUUUAGCCAGAGGACGGGUGUGUUCUGUUAUGAUUCUCUCCCUUGUCACAUGCUCAAAGCCUAGGUAUUGUGGGACGAAGGAAUUGAGAAGGGCAAUCCGAACUGAUGAAAUGGCACGUCGUAGACAGGACUUGGAAAUAUUAAAAAUGGUUGCCAUCAGCUUGUUGGAGAGUCCUGAUUUCAUUUUCAUCAAGAAAAUACCAACAGAUGUUCUCAAGCUCCUUGCUGGGGUUUUCCUAACCUGCUCAGCAUGUUGACAUAUUUCCCUAAAAUCAGAUUUUUUGUGUCCUGUCAAAGUUACAUAAUCAUCGUCAGUCAUUUCAUCCUCAUUGUCAAAGUCGAUUCUUGUUUUGGAAUAUGUUAUUGCAGUAGUGCGUAAUUUGCCAAUCAAUUUCUCGAGAUCUUCAGAAUUUAAAAGAACAGACGUUGAUGGCUGCAAAUUGAAGUUUCCAACAAUUUUGUCGUUCUGCACAUGGUUUGGACAACACCUGCACCCUGCCGGUAGUAGUACAUUGUGAUCAAGAAAAAAUCGAAAUCGUAUUCCAGCUGGCACGGUAAUCAACUUAGGACCAGGGCGCUUACAUAAAGUGCAGUAAGAGUGUGAUCUUACAGUGCAUUGGAUAUUGAGCCUUAUUUGUGAUGGAAGAGAUGUAGUGGAACUAUCAGCUUUCUUAGCUUCCUUAACUGUGCACUGUAUUUUCUCAACAUGACUGCAAGACUUGGUUCUGUGAAAUGUGCAUACACAUUUAUUGCAAAUUGUGUCACCAAUUUUUGACUCAAGCAUGAAAUUUUUUCUCAAGUAUUUCUGUACAUCUUUCCGUACAUGCCUCCGAUUUUUUGGUUUAGUUCUAAUUCCACACAAAACGCAGUUGAAAUACUUUGGACCAAAUCCUGGCAUACUGUAAAUAUUAAAUUAAUUUGAGACUUUAAUGAGAAAUGUUUAAUAAAUUAUU